GACGAACGCUGGCGGUGUGCUUAACACAUGCAAGUCGAACGGAAAGGCACUGAGUUCGUGCGGUGACCGAGUGGCGAACGGGUGAGUGACACGUGUGUAACCGGCCCUACACUUUGGGGUAACUUAAGGAAACUGAGGCUAAUCCCGGACAGGAGAUCCUGCAGCAUGGUGGGGGUUGGAACGUUUCAGCGGUCGGGGCUGGACGCGCGGGUUAUCGGCUUGUUGGUUGGGUAGGGGCUUACCAAGUCUUUGACUGGUCGCCGGCCUGAGAGGGUGAACGGCCACAAUGCUACUAAGAUAGGGCCCAGUCUGCAACGGUAGACAGCAGUGGGGAAUAUGGCACAAUGGGCGGAAGCCUGAUGCAGCAACGUCGCGGUCGUGAUGACGUCCUUCGGGUUGUAAACCGCUUUCGCUUGAUACGAAGCUGUAGUGACGGUAAUGGGUGAAGAAGCACCGGCUAACUACGUG
RNAcentral lists this ribosomal RNA (468 nucleotides) under uncultured bacterium. RNAcentral describes it as "partial 16S ribosomal RNA". It matches the Rfam family "Bacterial small subunit ribosomal RNA", at positions 28 to 507 of the family's 1533-position model. The record is from RNAcentral.